Non-coding RNA from Myotis davidii, 75 nucleotides. NCBI's taxonomy places the organism in Eukaryota, Metazoa, Chordata, Mammalia, Chiroptera, Vespertilionidae. The record is from Rfam.
GGUGGUUCUCAGGUGACGCACCCUGGAAUUGGGCUCCUUUCUCUCUGGUUCCAGGUGCAUCACCCAAGAACUGCA